Molecule: ribosomal RNA, 531 nt
Filed under: uncultured bacterium
Lineage: Bacteria
Description: bacterial SSU rRNA
Rfam family: Bacterial small subunit ribosomal RNA
Source: RNAcentral
CUUGACAUGUCCGGUAUGGUUUCCAGAGAUGGAUUCCUUCAGUUAGGCUGGCCGGAACACAGGUGCUGCAUGGCUGUCGUCAGCUCGUGUCGUGAGAUGUUGGUUAACGUCCGCAACGAGCGCAACCCUCGCCCUUAGUUGCCAUCAUUUAGUUGGGCACUCUAGGGGGACUGCCGGUGAUAAGCCGAGAGGAAGGUGGGGAUGACGUCAAGUCCUCAUGGCCCUUACGGGCUGGGCUACACACGUGCUACAAUGGCGGUGACAGUGGGAUGCUAAGGGGCGACCCCUCGCAAAUCUCAAAAAGCCGUCUCAGUUCGGAUUGCGCUCUGCAACUCGAGCGCAUGAAGGUGGAAUCGCUAGUAAUCGUAGAUCAGAACGCUACGGUGAAUACGUUCCCGGGCCUUGUACACACCGCCCGUCACACCAUGGGAGUUGGUUCUACCUGAAGGCGUUUUGCUAACCGCAAGGGGGCAGACGACCACGGUAGGGUCAGCGACUGGGGUGAAGUCGUAACAAGGUAGGCGUAGUGCU